GAGGAAAGUCCGAGCUACAUAGGGCAGAGUGCCAGAUAACGUCUGGGCGGUGUGAACCGACGACCAGUGCAACAGAGAGCAGACCGCCGAUGUGCAUUAGCGCAGGUAAGGGUGAAAGGGUGCGGUAAGAGCGCACCGCGAGGGUGGCAACAUUCCACGGCACGGUAAACUCCACUCGUAGCAAGACCAAAUAGGAACUCAAUGGAUGGCCCGUCCAGAGUUCGGGUAGGUUGCUUGAGCUUGCGUGCGAAUGCAAGCCUAGAGGAAUGAUUGUCCACGACAGAACUCGGCUUA
RNAcentral lists this RNase P RNA (294 nucleotides) under Actinobacillus ureae ATCC 25976. Its description in RNAcentral is "Bacterial RNase P class A". It matches the Rfam family "Bacterial RNase P class A", at positions 43 to 351 of the family's 367-position model. Rfam says of the family: Ribonuclease P (RNase P) is a ubiquitous endoribonuclease, found in archaea, bacteria and eukarya as well as chloroplasts and mitochondria. Its best characterised activity is the generation of mature 5'-ends of tRNAs by cleaving the 5'-leader elements of precursor-tRNAs. Cellular RNase Ps are ribonucleoproteins. Lineage: Bacteria; Pseudomonadati; Pseudomonadota; Gammaproteobacteria; Pasteurellales; Pasteurellaceae. The record is from RNAcentral.